This 30-nucleotide small RNA is filed under the name Bombyx mori (domestic silkworm). RNAcentral describes it as "ovarian small RNA-4613". The record is from RNAcentral. Lineage: Eukaryota; Metazoa; Arthropoda; Insecta; Lepidoptera; Bombycidae.
AUGGACGUUUACGAGUCCGUGUCGCGUACA